Molecule: ribosomal RNA, 253 nt
Filed under: uncultured bacterium
Lineage: Bacteria
Description: partial 16S ribosomal RNA
Rfam family: Bacterial small subunit ribosomal RNA
Source: RNAcentral
UACGAAGGGGGCUAGCGUUGCUCGGAAUGACUGGGCGUAAAGGGCGCGUAGGCGGAUGGCACAGUCAGAUGUGAAAUUCCCGGGCUUAACCUGGGGGCUGCAUUUGAUACGUGUGAUCUAGAGUGAGGAAGAGGGUCGUGGAAUUCCCAGUGUAGAGGUGAAAUUCGUAGAUAUUGGGAAGAACACCGGUGGCGAAGGCGGCGACCUGGUCCUUGUCUGACGCUGAGGCGCGAAAGCGUGGGGAGCAAACAGG